UACGAAGGGGGCGAGCGUUGUUCGGAAUCACUGGGCGUAAAGGGCGCGUAGGCGGCCCUUCUUGUCGCGUGUGAAAGCCCCGGGCUCAACCUGGGAAUUGCAUUCGAGACUGUGCCGCUAGGGUGCGGAAGAGGGAAGCGGAAUUUCCGGUGUAGCGGUGAAAUGCGUAGAUAUCAGGAGGAACACCGGUGGCGAAGGCGGGUCUCUGGGCCAAUACUGACGCUGAGGAGCGAAAGCGUGGGGAGCGAACAGG
RNAcentral lists this ribosomal RNA (253 nucleotides) under uncultured bacterium. RNAcentral describes it as "partial 16S ribosomal RNA". It matches the Rfam family "Bacterial small subunit ribosomal RNA", at positions 524 to 776 of the family's 1533-position model. The record is from RNAcentral.